RNAcentral lists this unclassified non-coding RNA (542 nucleotides) under Hevea brasiliensis (rubber tree). The record is from RNAcentral. Lineage: Eukaryota; Viridiplantae; Streptophyta; Magnoliopsida; Malpighiales; Euphorbiaceae.
UUUUUUUUUUUUUUUUCCCCCUAUUUCUUUGUGUAGACAUUAGUGGCAUCUGGCAAUUAUCAAUUAUCUGAUAAUCCAAGAGCUUGAGGCUUCUAUUUGCCUUCCAAUAACAUGGAUGUGAUGAGGUUAACAGUUUAGUAUUUGUCAAAAAAGAAAGCAACCAAGCAAACUGCAGCAAAGGUCUCAAAUUGCAAAACCAUCUUUUGAAGAAUUAGCCAAUGGCUGCACUUGUAUUUGAUAGAGAAUGAAAUGUGCUUACUAUUAAUCCUUUACAUUGAUCAAGAACACAAACUGUUUCAUUCAAAGCCUCUGCAACACCCCUGGAAUCGUCAAGUAGCAGUCUCCUGCAUCAAAAGGGAAGUACCAAAUUCUGAUAAUCUUGUGUGAUAAGCACAAAGGACAAGAAUUACACUCAUUUAAACUUUUAGUCAUUGAUAUACAAGCACAUGACUUUUAGAUAAUGUCUUAACUGGUAUCAUUUUCUCCAUUUUCAUAUAUUACAAACUGGAAUUUUUGUGGAAGAAAUGCUUAAAAAAAAAAAA